GAGGAAAUGGCCGAGCGGUUUAAGGCGGUUCUUUGCUAAGGAACUUUGCGGACCCCCGCAUCGUGGGUUCAAAUCCCACUUUCCUUG
Molecule: transfer RNA, 87 nt
Filed under: Vermamoeba vermiformis
Lineage: Eukaryota; Tubulinea; Echinamoebida; Vermamoebidae
Description: tRNA-Ser
Rfam family: tRNA
About the family: Transfer RNA (tRNA) molecules are approximately 80 nucleotides in length.
Source: RNAcentral